This is a long non-coding RNA of Carya illinoinensis, 1981 nucleotides long. RefSeq lists it as uncharacterized. NCBI's taxonomy places the organism in Eukaryota, Viridiplantae, Streptophyta, Magnoliopsida, Fagales, Juglandaceae. The transcript is spliced from 3 exons. The record is from RefSeq and is a predicted model, not a curated record.
UUCACUUAACACAGAUCACCACGUACGGCAUGCAGUCAGUAACUCUUGGGCGCCUCUGAUCAUGUGCAUGCACGAAGCACGAUAACGUCGUCCUCCACUAUCGGCCAUAAAAUUUAGCAUAUUUGCAUUAAAAAAUGACAGCUUGUAUAAAUACUACAUAUCUAGAUCAAAUAUUCAUGACCAAGUAUGUAUAUAUGUGUGCGUGUGUGUGGCCGGCAGCCUUGUUUUGGGCGAGAGAUCGAGUAUCUCAUGAUAAUGUUCCGGCAGUAGUAGUACUGUAUCUAGAAGUAGUAUCCAGUUGUGUGUACGUACGUGACUCUUUUCUGGCUAAUUAUAUCAGAAGGGUACCUCAGUUCACCAUGCAUGCCCCAUUAAUGUAGCUAGCGAGCUAGGUGCAUGAAGUAAUGCAUGGCCUUUUUUCAUUUGUUAUUAAGCUGCAUUUCCGGCCUUUUAUUAUAGUUCUGCCCGAACGUCAAUGCUGUAGAUCAUCAGGAUGUUUGCUCCGUGAUGUUUUUAAUCAGUGCAUGGAGAAGGGUAUCAAUGGUGCUCAAGAUCACAUUUUUCUAAUUAUUUGAGGUAAAUGCAAAUUAACCCUUUGAAAAUAAUGGUGGUUUGAAAAAAAAAAACAAACAAAAAGACAAUUAAAGAUAAGAAGCUACACACGACACAAUAGACAAUCCAGUUCUCUUUGUUCUCAGUGCACAAAUUAAAUCAUGUAUAUAUCAUGGGAUAUUCCUUUAAUUUAACAUUAAUUGAUGUAUUAUAUCAUCAUAUGUAAUAUUGUUAGAGUCACAAAAAGAUUUUAUAAAGUUAAAUUUACAAAUUGAUGUAAAUUUACAGAAUAUAUUAAAUUUAUUUUAUAAUAAGAAUAAUUUUAUAAAAUGACGUCUUUUAUUAAAUCACGGCAUUAAUUAAUAAAUUUAUAUUUAUGAACUGACUUUAAUGUCUAAAAUAUUUCUUUGGUCUGGGUCCGGGGAUGUCAUGUGUGGCUUUUAUAUGUUCAGUAUGAAAGAAUUGCUCUGGGUUCACUCACUAUAAUAUUCUAUCAAUUUGGCCCAUUACAUUUACUGUAGGCUCUUCUUGUUGCGUUUGCACAUGCAUGGACGUUCCACUUGUCCCAUUAUAUAUCUCUAGAUCUCUCAUUGUAAACUCUAUAAAUAUCGCCAGAGCUAAGGCUUCAGGCAAUUCAUAUGCUGAGGUUGCUUUAAGUUUCUUGAAAACUUAUAUGCAUAGCAGAUAUAACUACUCUAGUCUCUAGCUAGGCAACUACCAGCUUGCUUAAUUUAGCUGAUUUGGUUCUUCCCAUCUCUCUUGCUCUCUCCUUGUAUAACCAGUUGUCUUUCAAUCUCUCAGCUUGAUCCAUGGCCCAGAAAAAAAUUUUAAUCUCCGCCUGUCUUUUCUUUGUUUUGAUUUUCUUCCAAUAAACUUAGUUCAUUGAGGGAAGGCAUUUGCUUGUUGGGAAGAAUAACGAAUUUCAAAUGCUCCAAACUCAUAACAAAAUCCAUGAAAAGGAAACUAAUAAGCACGGAGGUAAGUUCUGUGAUGAUGAUCAUGACAUGACGGCCAUGAGCGACGCAAUUACUCAUGAAGCCAUAUUACUGUCUCCUCCUAUAGUAGCAGCUGACGAAGGUGUGGCACCUCCCCCGCCGCCUCCAGCUCAUGCCAUUAUCACUAAUUCAGGCCAACAACUCCAGGUCCUAGCCCUGGUAGUGGGCAUCCCAUUCAUGACCAGGCUAAAUAUUUCUCAAUCUUCCUGCAUGUAUAGAUGUUGCAUGCAUGCUGCAUGCAUAUACAUAUGUUCUCAUUGAUCGUUGCAUGUGCAGGAAAUGACUUCAUUAUCUGCAUUUAAAUGUAUCAUUAAUAAUGGUGUUGUGCUUCAAUUGCCAAUUAAGAAUUUAAGGUUAUAGCUAGCUAGGUGGUAUUGGGCAUCCCAUUCAUCCCUAGGCCAAUUUCUUGGUCUUCCUGCAUGUAUAUAUGUUGC